RNAcentral lists this long non-coding RNA (537 nucleotides) under Homo sapiens (human). Its description in RNAcentral is "non-protein coding lnc-PLCL2-10:1". Lineage: Eukaryota; Metazoa; Chordata; Mammalia; Primates; Hominidae. The record is from RNAcentral.
UUUAAUUUUUUUUUAUGCUGACAGCAGCCCAUGAAGUAUGUCACAAACCACUAACCUACACUAGAAUACUGCUCUAGAAUUCAACCCUACUAAGAGAGUGCUGAAAUGACAAGAGUGGUUUUUCCUUCCUCUUCUCCGUACUGAAGUACGAAGUCAAUAAGACAAGAUAGGAAGGGGAAAAGCGAAGGUGCCCUCCAACACAUUUGGAGAGCUAGCCCCAAAGGUCUGACUACUCCCCUAAAAUAUGGUUUAAAAAUGCAAUCAGCUAAUACAUUCUACUUAGUCAUCACUACUCAAUGAGAGAAAAUAAUGGCUAAAUGUUGAGUAAAAAUAAAAGAACUAGAAAAUAAUUUGCAAGGUGUACAAGUAAUUCUACAUCAUAAAACACUGUAGGUUGGGCAUGGUGGCUCACACCUAUAAUCCCAGUACUUUGGGAAGGCAAGGUAGGAGGAUUGCUUGAGCCCAGGAAGUUUGAGACCAGCUUGGGCAACAUAGGGAGACCCUGCCUCUAAAACAAAUUUUUUUUAGGUAGCUGGG